GCUGGAGUGGCGGAACUGGCAUACGCGCUAGCCUUAGGAGCUAGUGCCCGCAAGGGCUUGAGAGUUCAAAUCUCUCCUCCAGCACCA
Molecule: transfer RNA, 87 nt
Filed under: Candidatus Uhrbacteria bacterium
Lineage: Bacteria; Candidatus Uhriibacteriota
Description: tRNA-Leu
Rfam family: tRNA
About the family: Transfer RNA (tRNA) molecules are approximately 80 nucleotides in length. Their secondary structure includes four short double-helical elements and three loops (D, anti-codon, and T loops).
Source: RNAcentral